RNAcentral lists this ribosomal RNA (423 nucleotides) under uncultured bacterium. RNAcentral's name for it is "bacterial SSU rRNA". It matches the Rfam family "Bacterial small subunit ribosomal RNA", at positions 29 to 458 of the family's 1533-position model. The record is from RNAcentral.
AGCGAACGUUUGCGGCGGGCCUAACACAUGCAAGUCGAACGCACUAGCAAUAGUGAGUGGCGCACGGGUGCGUAACACGUGGGUAAUCAACCCUUCAGCUUGGGAUAACGACUUGAAAGGGUCGCUAAUACCGGAUACGGCGCGGGAGGCUUCGGCUUCUCACGAGAAAGCCUCGCAAGGGGCACUGAAGGACGAGCCUGCGGCCCAUCAGCUAGUUGGUGAGGUAAGAGCUCACCAAGGCGAAGACGGGUAGCUGGUCUGAGAGGAUGAUCAGCCACACUGGAACUGAGACACGGUCCAGACUCCUACGGGAGGCAGCAGUGGGGAAUAUUGCGCAAUGGGCGAAAGCCUGACGCAGCCACGCCGCGUGAGCGAUGAAGGCCUCGGUCGUAAGCUCUGUGGGGAGGAGACGAAGAAAGCCGU